RNAcentral lists this long non-coding RNA (1072 nucleotides) under Gopherus evgoodei (Goodes thornscrub tortoise). RNAcentral's name for it is "lncRNA (ENSGEVG00005007685.1)". The record is from RNAcentral. Lineage: Eukaryota; Metazoa; Chordata; Testudines; Testudinidae.
CUGAGCACGGAUCAGGGGCUGAGGCGGAUCAGACAGUAGCACAUUAUCUUAUCGUCAGCAGCUCGAGGAUGGGAGGCGCGGGAGGGGGUGACAAGCAAGAUGUUACUAGACACAGAGACAAGGAAAGCCAGCAUCCUAGCCUCACUACAGGCUCUGGGGGAGGAUUCUGCAAAUGGGAGAAAAAGGAAGAAUCACAGAAGAAAGCUCAUCUCUGGUCCGAGUCCUACUAUGUGUGGCUGCCUUCCCCCAGGGAAACUUCUGCAUGGAUCCAAAUCUGAUAGAAUCUUCCAAAGGGGAAAUCUCACAGGAUCACUGGCUCUGGAAAGGGUGAGACUGACAAAAGCAAAGCUGGGGAAAAGGUUCCAAAUUCCUAAAGGCAAAGGAGACAGCAGAUGGGCACUUUCCCAAUCUCUACAGGAGAUCAUGUCCUCUGCCCAGGAAGACCAGGCAUGCUUUCAGCCAAAUCUUCUGUUCAGAUUUCAGAAAGCUGCUAAAAGCAUUGUUAUGCUUUGCUUACUUUACAGAGAGCACCACCUACUAGCCAACCUCAACUAUGGGAUUGAGAGAGUCAAGAGAUGGAAAUCCCAAUCAAACUACAUGGAACAGUCUAAGGAAGAGAUCCUCUUUGAUGUGACACUGUUCAGGGCUAAAAAACAGUCAAGGAUCUCUGAGCGUGCCAUACAUAUUCUUCAUCAGUGUCCUCAGGAGCGAAGUGAGAAGGACAUCAGCUACAUAUUAAUCACCCUGCAGCCCGUGAAGGCCUUUGGAAAUUACUCCACAAUGAUUCAGAAGAAGGUGGCAAAGGCUGGAUGGUAUUCAAGGGAAUCUGUCCUUUCUAGGUAUGAAUCCUGCCAAGUGAUGAUCCAACAGGGCUACGCACCACACUCCUUCUAUAUCUGUCUCUCAGGAUCUGCAACAGUUAUCAAGAGGAACAAUGACAGUGGCCAAGUAAAGCCUGCCUGGUUCUUUAGUCGAGGGGAUGCAUUUGGGGAUAGAGAGAUUAUAAAUGGUGACUACUGGCAGACAACUGUUAUUAUUCAGGAACCAGCUGAGUUUCUCUGUAUUGACCGAG